AAUAAAGCUGUACAAGCGGUGUAUUCAGAUAGUUUGGAAAUACUUAUUUUUAAGAAGUUCAAUGAUCACUUGCCAAUAUGAUACACAAUCUACCAGCUAAACCAUAAACUGUAGAAAAUAAACUACAAUGAGCAUAAGGGGAAAAAAAAACCUCCACAAUUAAAAAUUCACUUUAAAAUUCAGCCACAUCCUUUAAGUGCUCAUCUGUAAUAAGUAUAUAUAGUGUAUAAAGUUCAAAAUAGAAAUGAAAUUACUAAGUAAAUAUUUUCAUUAUGAGAUUUCCCAAUAAACACAAUGAGUAUGCAGAGAUCUUUUUAAGCUUAGUGCCAGCUUUCCCAUGAACAUGGGAUGAAAUAUUUUUAAAACAUGUGUCCUCACCUGGCAUUAUAAAUAUAAGACACAGCCUAUUUCUACUAUUUAGGCUGUUUCUUUCCAACUAGUAUAUUUUUACAUCAAGAAAAACACAUAUAGCAUAAGCUUUAAGAGGAGAAACUAAUCCAUCAUUAUAUGAGUUUUGGUCAAUUUCGCUUUCAAGGAUGUACAGAUUGCUUUCCAAAAUAAGGCUAUGCUCAUAAAAAUGCUGGUUUUCAAGUAUACGGUAUAUAUUGGUGGGAAAGGGGCACAAAACGGGUUUUUUUUCCAGAAUGUUCCCUUGUCCUUUGUCUACCUUAUUUCCCGUUUAUGAGCAGCUCCUAAAUGAAGCAGAUUUAAUGGCUGCCGCUGAAUUUCUCCAAAGAAUAAAAACUGUGAAUCAGCCAAUAUCUUUUCCCCCACUUCAUUAUGUUACAUUUUUACUAAAAAUCUUUUUAGCAGAUAAGAGUCAUUUUCUAUGCAAUUCAGAAGCGCCAUACUUUAAGUAAACUUGAAAAUUAAGUUUUACACAGAAGAUAAAUUGGGGAUAUCUACUUCAACAAAAGAUUCUUAUUUCUUAAUAGGAUUCUUUAAAAUAGCAAGCUUCCCCAGCAAAUAAGGCAAAAAGCAAUUAAUGGUUAUUGAGCACUCACUAAUGUGCCAGGUAUUCCACCUCAUUAUUUCAGAUUCAUUAUCUCACCAAAGCCUCCCAACCUUGUGAAGCAUAUUGUAUCAUCCCCACUUAAUAGACAGCUCAGGAUUAUAGUUGCCUAGGAUCCCAGCUAUAGCGAGUAGUGACAUAGGGUUUCUAAUUGACAUCUGAUUCCAAAGCCACACUCUUACUCUUUCCAACAUAUC
Molecule: long non-coding RNA, 1209 nt
Filed under: Homo sapiens (human)
Lineage: Eukaryota; Metazoa; Chordata; Mammalia; Primates; Hominidae
Description: non-protein coding lnc-NID2-8:1
Source: RNAcentral